RNAcentral lists this ribosomal RNA (122 nucleotides) under Sesamum indicum (sesame). Lineage: Eukaryota; Viridiplantae; Streptophyta; Magnoliopsida; Lamiales; Pedaliaceae. The record is from RNAcentral.
GGGUGCGAUCAUACCAGCACUAAUGCACUAGAUCCCAUCAGAACUCCGAAGUUAAGCGUGCUAGGGCGAGAGUAGUACUAGGAUGGGUGAACCCCUGCGAAGUCCUCGUGUUGCAGCCGUUU